This is a non-coding RNA of Potamilus streckersoni, 73 nucleotides long. NCBI's taxonomy places the organism in Eukaryota, Metazoa, Mollusca, Bivalvia, Unionida, Unionidae. The record is from the annotation of a GenBank genome assembly.
GAUCCAGUGGCUUAGUGGUUAGAGCAUCUGCCUCGGAUUCGGGAGUUCACUGGUUCGAAUCCCGGCCGAAUCA